UCUCCCCCCAUCUCUCCCCGUCCACUGCCAGCCAGCCAGCAGCCAUGGGCUUCCUGCACCAGCUUCACCUCUUGCUGUGGAAAAACAUUACACUGAAACGCCGGAGCCCGUGGGUCUUGGCGUUCGAGAUCUUCAUCCCACUGGUUCUCUUCUUCAUCUUGCUGGGACUCCGACAGAAGAAACCAACUAUUCCUGUCAAAGAAGCAUUCUACACAGCUGCACCACUGACAUCGGCUGGGAUACUCCCUGUGAUGCAGUCUCUAUGCCCCGAUGGCCAGAGGGAUGAGUUCGGAUUCCUGCAGUAUUCCAACUCUACGGUCACCCAGUUGCUUGAACGCAUCAACGAGGUGGUGGAGGAGAGCAAUCUGUUUGACCCCGAUCGCCCAGGUCUUGAAGAAGAGUUGGAAUCACUCCGACGACAUCUGGAGUCGAUGAACAAUGACCCCAGCUCCGUGGAGAACCACUUCAAUAACACUUAUGGAUUCACUCUGGGAUCAGUUGUAAAGGACCGGGCUGAACUACAACACUUCCUGACACACAACCUGUCCAUUUCCAAUGAAACAGCUGGACUUCUGCUCGGGUCAAAUGUUAACUUGAAGGAGCUAUUCCGUCUUUGCUUUGGGUCCUAUCCAUCAGCUGUGGACAGUGAGCUGGACAGUGAUAAUUGGGAUGCAUUUGGUGCCGGAGAGAAACUCAUGCAGUUGGAGGAACAUCUUCUGGGAGGAUGGCGGGAGAUCGAGGGAGGACUUAUCCACAAGGCACUAAGUGACCCAGGGAAAGUGACGAAUCGACAAAAACUGGUGCAACUGUUGGCACAAGCGCUUGGCCUGGCAGGGUCCAGUAAUUCCACCGAUGGCUAUGAUCCACAGGGACUUGUUGGGGAGAUGGAGAAUAUUCUGUUUGUGCCCAACGUAUUGGAAUCCUUGACGUGCAACGAUGAGAAGGAUGACCUGCAGAAGGUGCUGAUGAUCCCAGCAUCCCAGACGGCCCGGCUCAAACAUUACCGAGGAGUUGUGUGUAACACCAGCUCCAGAGUGCGGAAGGAACACUUCCAGCAACUCGCCCACGAACUGAAAAGCCAGGUGGACAUCCGGAAAAUCGUGGAGAAGUUGAAGCUGAACGAGGUCAACCACACAGCAGUGCAGCAUCAUCUCCAGGCCCUGCUUGAAGACCUGGUCGAGGUGGAAAAGAUUCUGAAAGACGUGGACGCAUUGUCGAGUCUGGCCAGGCUGUUGCCCAAAGGAGCGUGCGCUGGGAAAAGCCCGUCCACAGCCGCCAACAGUAGCAGCUGGAGCAGCAACUUCACCACCGCCAACUCCACCGCAGAGGAGGGAGAUGAGGCCCAGACGGAGAACCCUCACACUCAGUUCUCAGCUUUCGUUCAGCUCUGGGCUGGUCUGCAGCCAAUCCUCUGUGGCAACAACAGAACGAUAGAACCGGAGGCACUGAAGCAGGGCAACAUGAGCUCGUUGGGCUUCACCAGCAAGGAACAACGCAACCUAGGAUUACUGGUGCAUCUCAUGACCACCAACCCCAAAAUCCUAUAUUCACCAGUUGGCACAGAGGUGGACAAAGUCAUAGAAAAGGCUAAUGAAACGUUUGCGUUUGUUGGGAACGUCACUCAUUACGCCAGAGUCUGGCUGAACAUAUCGUCCGAAAUCCGUACCUUUCUGGAAGAAGGCAAGCUACAGAAUCGCAUCAGCUGGCUACAGCAAUUCACCUCCGAUUUGAAGAGGCGCCCAGAGGUACUGAACGCCUCCGACAGCGAUAUCAUCAGGAACUUCAUCAACAGCAACUUCUCCAUGCCCAACUCCAGCAGUCUGCUCCAGCAACUGGACACCAUCGAUAACGCAGCCUGUGGGUGGAUACAGUUCAUGUCCAAGGUGAGUGUGGACAUAUUUAAGGGCUUCCCCAAUGAGGAGAGCAUCGUCAACUACACCUUGAACCGAGCGUAUCAUGAAAAUGUCACCGUAUUUGCCAGUGUGAUAUUUCAGACCAAGGAGGACGGCACUCUUCCCCCUCAUGUGAUGUUGAAAAUACGCCAAAACUCCAGCUUUACGGAGAAGACCAAUGAAAUCCGUCGUGCCUACUGGAGGCCCGGCCCCAACACCGGAGGGAGGUUCUAUUUCCUCUAUGGCUUUGUCUGGAUUCAAGAUAUGAUGGAACGGGCCAUCAUCAACACGUUUGUGGGCCAUGAUGUGGUGGAGCCCGGGAACUAUGUGCAGAUGUUCCCCUACCCCUGCUACACUAGGGAUGAUUUCCUGUUUGUGAUUGAGCACAUGAUGCCACUCUGCAUGGUCAUAUCCUGGGUCUACUCUGUGGCGAUGAUGAUACAACACAUUGUCGCUGAGAAGGAACACCGGCUCAAAGAGGUGAUGAAGAUGAUGGGGUUGAACAAUGCCGUGCACUGGGUUGCCUGGUUCAUCACCGGCUUCGUGCAGCUCUCCAUUUCGGUCACUGCCCUGACGGGUAUCCUCAAAUACGGCAAGGUCCUGAUGCACAGUGACCCCUUCAUCAUCUGGCUGUUCCUCACCAUCUACGCCAUUGCCACCAUCAUGUUCUGUUUCCUGAUCUCUGUGGUCUACUCCAAGGCAAAGCUAGCCUCAGCGUGUGGUGGGAUCAUAUACUUCCUCAGCUAUGUCCCUUACAUGUAUGUAGCUAUUCGUGAAGAGGUGGCUCAUGAUAGGAUCACGGCCUUUGAGAAGUGUAUAGCGUCACUCAUGUCCACGACUGCGUUCGGCCUUGGCUCCAAGUACUUUGCUCUGUAUGAGGUAUCGGGAGUUGGCAUUCAGUGGCACACCCUCAACCAGUCACCGGUGGAAGGAGAUGACUUCAACCUGCUUCUGUCCAUGGUCAUGUUGAUUGUAGAUGCUACAGUCUACGGAGUGCUGACAUGGUACAUCGAGGCUGUACAUCCAGGGAUGUAUGGGCUUCCCAGACCAUGGUACUUCCCUUUCCAGAAGUCCUACUGGUUGGGGAAUGGGCGGAUUGAGACGUGGGAAUGGAGUUGGCCUUGGGCGAAGAGCAGCAGGCUCAGCAUUAUGGAGGAUGACCAAGCCUGUGCCAUGGAGAGCAGGAGACUCGAAGAGACUCGGGGGAUAGAGGAGGAACCGAGCCAUUUGCCUUUGGUGGUGUGCAUUGACAAGCUGACCAAGGUCUACAAGACUGGGAAGAAACUGGCUCUGAACAAGCUCAGCCUCAACUUGCAUGAGAACCAGGUGGUGUCAUUCCUGGGCCACAAUGGUGCGGGGAAAACCACCACCAUGUCCAUUCUGACGGGAUUGUUCCCACCCUCGGCGGGUUCGGCCACGAUCUAUGGGCACGACAUCCGGACAGAGAUGGAUGAAAUCAGGAAGAACCUGGGCAUGUGCCCGCAGCACAAUGUGCUGUUUGACAAGCUGACGGUGGAGGAGCACCUGUGGUUUUACUCCCGCCUCAAGGGGAUGGCGGAGGAUGAGAUUCGAAAAGAAAUGGAUAAAAUGAUUGAAGACUUGGAGUUGUCCAACAAGAGGCACUUCCUGGUACAGACAUUGUCGGGAGGAAUGAAGAGGAAACUAUCUGUGGCCAUUGCCUUUGUUGGAGGAUCCAAGGCCAUCAUUCUUGAUGAACCAACAGCAGGAGUUGACCCAUAUGCACGGCGAGCCAUCUGGGACCUGAUCCUGAAAUACAAACAAGGUCGGACAAUUCUCCUGUCCACACAUUACAUGGACGAGGCCGAUCUGCUUGGAGACCGUAUCGCGAUCAUUUCGCACGGGAAGUUGAAGUGUUGCGGGUCGCCGCUGUUUCUCAAAAGCACCUACGGGGACGGCUACAAGUUGACUGUGGUGAAGAAACAGCAUGACUCACAAACUAACUCAGAUUCAGGACAGGAUUGCAGCCCUUCGUUGCAUUCUGCUUGCUUGGAAUCUAAGGUGACUCAGUUUAUUAAAAAGUAUGUGGUGUCCACAAUACUGAUGAUGGACACAAACACGGAGAUAUCGUACAUUCUGCCGUCGGAAGCUGUGAAGAAGGGAUGCUUCGAGAGGCUUUUCCAGGCCCUGGACCUCAACUUGGAAGACCUGAAUUUGACGAGUUUCGGUCUGAUGGACACAACACUGGAGGAGGUUUUCUUGAAAGUUUCUGAAGAAGACCAGUCCUUGGAGAACAGCGACAUAGAUGACAAGGAUUUGGGGAAGGAUGUGAUGCAGACACCACAGGCGGACCAGAGAAAUGGGCGCCACAAGGUCACCCCUCCUAAAGAAAGUUCCCGCCCGGUGAAAGUGAAUGUGAGCAAUCUGGUGACUUGUUCCACACUGAGUCAGUCCCAGUCCUCCGUCCACUCCUCCUCCUCUGUUGGCUCCGUGCGUGGAGACGAGAUGAGAGGGUACUCUGAAUUCUACGGAGACUACACCCCUCUGUUUGACAACCUGGUUGAUGCGGACAAUCUCAGUCUACAAGCAGAACGUGAAGCAGAGCUGAAGAGCUUUGUUCUGGAGGGCCAAGGCAGCACCAAGCUGGAGGGCUCUUGGCUGAAGUUGUGCCAGUUCUGUGGGCUGAUCGUCAAACGCUACCACUGUGCCAAGCGCAACACCAAGAGUCUCUUCUCACAGAUCCUGCUCCCAGCGUUCUUUGUGUGUGUGGCCAUGACUGUGGCUCUGUCGGUCCCCGAGAUCGGGGACCUGCCUCCUCUGAUCCUGUCCCCGUCCCAGUACCACAAUUACACGCAGCCCCGAGGAAACUUCAUUCCCUACGCAGACGAAGAGAGGAACGAGUACAGGAUAAAGCUGUCACCAGAUGCCAGCCCCCAGCAGCUAGCAAACACCUUCUACCUGCCCUCGGGGAUUGGAGCUACCUGUGUUCUCAAGACUCCGUACAACAGCACGUUAGACCAGUUGGUGCAGACAUUGAACCUGUCUACCAGUGAGACGAAGAUGUUGGCAUCCAAGUACUUUGACUCGAUGUGCCUGGACUCUUUCACACAAGGCUUGCCUCUGUCAAACUUUGUUCCUCUGCCCCCUUCACCUGCCCCAUCAGACUUCCCCGAUACUGGAGCUGAUGAAGGGACGCACCUGUGGAAUUUCACAUCACCUGUGACAAUGAAAGAAACAUUCACGUCGUCUCCGUCCGUCCCACACCCCAUCCACGAGCUGGUCCGGUGUAGCUGCUCCAUGCAGGGCACGGGCUUCUCCUGCCCCAGUGGGGUGGGGGGCCACCCCCCCCAGAAGAAGGUGGUGACGGGCGACAUCAUGGUGGACAUCUCAGGCCGCAACGUGUCCGAGUAUAUCCUGCAUACAUCAGACCGCUUCAGGCUUCAUAGAUAUGGAGGACUGACGUUCGGGAACGUUCUCAAAUCGAUACCAGCGUCAUUCAGCACCCAGGCAGCUCCAAUGGUGCGGAAGAUCGCAGUAAGGAGAACAGCACAGGCUUUUUACAACAACAAAGGUUAUCACAGCAUGCCGACGUACCUGAACACCCUGAACAAUGCCAUCCUACGAGCCAACCUACCCAAGAGCAAAGGCAACCCUGCUGGAUAUGGCAUCACGGUGACAAACCAUCCAAUGAACAAGACCAGUGCCAGCUUGUCCCUUGACUACCUCCUGCAGGGCACAGAUGUGGUCAUCGCGAUUUUCAUCAUCGUGGCCAUGUCCUUUGUCCCGGCCAGCUUUGUGGUGUUUCUAGUGGCAGAGAAAUCGACCAAAGCCAAACACCUGCAGUUUGUCAGUGGAUGUGACCCAGUGAUCUACUGGCUCGCCAACUAUGUGUGGGACAUGUUGAAUUACUUGGUGCCAGCGACCUGCUGUAUCAUCAUUCUGUUUGUGUUUGACCUGCCCGCCUACACGUCGCCAACUAACUUCCCAGCCGUUCUCGCACUCUUCUUGUUAUACGGGUGGUCAAUCACGCCGAUAAUGUAUCCAGCAUCCUUCUGGUUUGAGGUUCCCAGCACGGCAUACGUCUUCCUAAUCGUCAUCAACCUCUUCAUCGGUAUCACGGCCACAGUGGCCACGUUCCUGCUUCAACUCUUUGAACACGACAAGGAUUUGAAAGCUGUGAACGGCUACCUGAAAUCCUGUUUCCUCAUUUUCCCAAACUAUAACCUGGGACAUGGAUUGAUGGAGAUGGCGUACAACGAGUACAUCAAUGAAUACUAUGCAAAGAUAGGCCAGUUUGGAAAGAUGAAGUCUCCCUUUGAAUGGGACAUUGUUACACGAGGGCUUGUAGCAAUGACUAUAGAAGGAUUUGUGGGUUUCUUCAUUACUAUCAUGUGCCAGUACAACUUCUUCCGAAAGCCACAGCGUCUGCCGGUUUCUAACAAGCCAAUUGAGGAUGAUGACAUUGACGUGGGUAACGAGAGGAGGCGUGUGCUACGUGGAGAUGCCGACACUGAUGUCCUGAAAAUACAGAACCUGACAAAGGUGUACAAGUCUCGGCGGAUGGGCCGGAUCCUGGCGGUGGACCGCCUCUGUGCCGGUGUGAGGCCGGGGGAAUGCUUCGGUCUACUGGGAGUGAACGGGGCUGGGAAGACCACCACGUUCAAGAUGUUGACUGGAGACGAGAGCACCACCGGCGGAGAGGCCUUUGUUAACGGAAACAGCAUCCUCAAGGACUUGUUGAAGGUUCAGCAGAGUAUCGGAUACUGCCCUCAGUUUGAUGCGCUGUUCGAUGAGCUGACUGCACGGGAACACAUGGAGCUCUACACCAGGCUUCGGGGAGUGCCCUGGAAAGAUGAAGCGAGGGUUAUAAACUGGGCACUUGACAAACUGGAACUCACUAAAUAUGCAGACAUGCCAGCGGGAACAUACAGUGGUGGGAACAAGAGAAAGCUCUCCACUGCCAUCGCCUUGAUCGGCUAUCCUUCCUUAAUUUUCUUGGAUGAGCCGACGACAGGAAUGGACCCCAAGGCACGGAGGUUUCUGUGGAACCUGAUCCUUGACAUCAUCAAGACGGGCCGUUCAGUAGUGCUGACAUCACACAGCAUGGAGGAAUGUGAGGCACUCUGCACCAGGCUGGCCAUCAUGGUGAACGGCCGUUUCCGAUGUCUCGGCAGCAUCCAGCACCUGAAGAACCGGUUUGGUGACGGGUACACGAUCACCGUCCGCACAAAGUCCAGUCUCUACGUGAAAGAAGUCGUGCGUUUUUUCAACCGGAAUUUCCCCGAAGCGGUGUUAAAGGAGAGGCACCAUACCAAAGUACAAUACCAGCUCAAGUCAGAGAACAUUUCCCUGUCCCAUGUUUUCAGUAAGAUGGAGCAAGUGGUCGACGUACUGGGAAUUGAAGACUACUCCGUCAGUCAAACCACGCUGGACAACGUAUUUGUGAACUUUGCUAAGAAACAGAGUGACAACUUGGAGCAGCAGGAGCUGGUCAACGCUGGGAGUAUGCACUCCCCCGUCAAAUGUAUCCUCAGCCUCCUACGGCCACGGGCCACGCCCACGGAGCUACAGGCGCUGACCAUCGACGAGCCCGAGGAGCUUGAGAGUGACGACGAAGGGUUAAUCAGCUUCGAGGAGGAACGAGCUCAGCUUUCAUUCAACACAGACACUUUGUGCUGAGAAGGUGAUGUUCCCCCACGAAGAUGUCCAUCUCUGAAGACCUUGCACAGGGCGGUGAAGACCUUUGCUUGACCAACGCCAGUGGUGGGAGUGAGGAUGGGAGGUGACUGAAUGUAUGGUCAAUAAUUCCUUCCAGCUGAACGACCCACUGCACGUGGAGACCUUGAAUCCAUCAGCCAGCUGGGGAUUGCCAACCGGGCUGCAAGAGUCGUCUUGGUGUCCCUGCCUGUCCCAUCCCGGGGAAGGAACGGUGAAGUCGCCCUCUCCCCCCCUCCCCCUCCCCUCCACCGCCCACAAUAAACACGAGUCCGUGACAUUUUAUUUAAUGCAGAGUUGUUUUAUUUUAAUGUACUGUCGAAAGUGGUGUGCCGAGAAGAAAUAUUUUUGAAGAGCAGAGCAGAAAUGAUGAGCAGAGCAUUUGGAAUCUUUAUUUUCAAUGGCAACAAGUGCACUGUAAACACUCAGAUGUAAAAGCCUUGCCUAGAUCAACAUGUGCAUGAAAUUUAUAGCCAAUGUAUAGACAUAGAAACAUAGAAUCUUAGAAAAUAGGUGCAGGAUUAGGCCAUUCGGCCCUUCGAGCCUGCACCGCCAUUCGAUAUGAUCAUGGCUGAUCAUCCAACUCAGUAUCCCAUACCUGCCUUCUCUCCAUACCUCCUGAUCCCUUUAGCCACAAGGGCCACAUCUAACUCCCUCUUAAAUAUAGCCAAUGAACUGUGGCCUCAACCACCCUCUGUGGCAGAGAAUUCCACAGAUUCACCACUCUCUGUGUGAAAAAUGAUUUUCUCAUCUCGGUCCUAAAAGAUUUCCCUCUUAUCCUUAAACUGUGACCCCUU
Leucoraja erinaceus (little skate) is the source of this 8362-nucleotide RNA transcript. It is a transcript of the gene named ATP-binding cassette, sub-family A (ABC1), member 2, with no coding region annotated. The transcript is spliced from 50 exons. NCBI's taxonomy places the organism in Eukaryota, Metazoa, Chordata, Chondrichthyes, Rajiformes, Rajidae. The record is from RefSeq and is a predicted model, not a curated record.